GGAACUGUGCCUGAAUGCCCAAGGACCACUUUGAUAGAGUGACUUAUAGGGGUUAAAACCCCCUCAGUUCCU
Molecule: transfer RNA, 72 nt
Filed under: Luciobarbus sclateri
Lineage: Eukaryota; Metazoa; Chordata; Actinopteri; Cypriniformes; Cyprinidae
Also listed under: 3 other names
Description: tRNA-Ile
Rfam family: tRNA
About the family: Transfer RNA (tRNA) molecules are approximately 80 nucleotides in length.
Source: RNAcentral